UAAUACCGGCAGUCCAAGUGAUGGCCGAUAUUAUUGGGCCUAAAGCGUCCGUAGCUUGCUGUGUAAGUCCAUUGGGAAAUCGACCAGCUCAACUGGUCGGCGUCCGGUGGAAACUACACAGCUUGGGGCCGAGAGACUCAACGGGUACGUCCGGGGUAGGAGUGAAAUCCUGUAAUCCUGGACGGACCACCAAUGGGGAAACCACGUUGAGAGACCGGACCCGACAGUGAGGGACGAAAGCCAGGGUCUCGAACCGGAUUAGAUACCCGGGUAGUCCACACCGUAAACGAUGAGUGCUAGGUGUUGGGGGUCGAACCUCAGUGCCGCAGCUAACGCAUUAAGCACUCCGCCUGGGGAGUACGCUCGCAAGAGUG
This 374-nucleotide ribosomal RNA is filed under the name uncultured archaeon. RNAcentral describes it as "bacterial SSU rRNA". It matches the Rfam family "Archaeal small subunit ribosomal RNA", at positions 471 to 851 of the family's 1478-position model. The record is from RNAcentral.